RNAcentral lists this ribosomal RNA (551 nucleotides) under Dotilla sulcata. RNAcentral's name for it is "partial 16S ribosomal RNA". It matches the Rfam family "Bacterial large subunit ribosomal RNA", at positions 1831 to 2625 of the family's 2925-position model. The record is from RNAcentral. Lineage: Eukaryota; Metazoa; Arthropoda; Malacostraca; Decapoda; Dotillidae.
GUCUGUUUGUAGAUAUAAAGAGUCUGGCCUGCCCACUGAAAAUUGUUUAAAGGGCCGCGGUAUUUUGACCGUGCAAAGGUAGCAUAGUCGUUAGGUUUUUAAUUGAGAUCUUGUAUGAAUGGUUUGACGAAGAAAGAGCUGUCUCUAUAUUUAACGAUUGAAAUUAACCUUUAAGUGAAAAGGCUUAAAUAAACUAAGAAGACGAUAAGACCCUAUAAAACUUCUAUAUGGUAUUGUAUUUGGUAAAAUUUGGAUUUAUAAAGAUCUGAUACAGAAAUAUAUUUUGUUGGGGUGACAAAAAUAAAAUGGAUAAUAACUGUUGAAAGUUAAAUACACUUAUAGAUGAAUAGAUACAUUAAUGAUCCUAACUAGAGAUUUAAAGUUUAAGUUACUUUAGGGAUAACAGCGUUAUUUUUUUUGAGAGUUCUUAUCGAAAAAAGAGUUUGCGACCUCGAUGUUGAAUUAAAGUAUCUGUAUAAUUGUAGGAGUUAUAUAAGAGGGUCUGUUCGACCUUUAAAUCUUUACAUGAUUUGAGUUCAAACCGGUGUGAG